RNAcentral lists this ribosomal RNA (253 nucleotides) under uncultured bacterium. RNAcentral describes it as "partial 16S ribosomal RNA". It matches the Rfam family "Bacterial small subunit ribosomal RNA", at positions 524 to 776 of the family's 1533-position model. The record is from RNAcentral.
UACGGAGGAUGCAAGCGUUAUCCGGAAUUAUUGGGCGUAAAGCGUCCGCAGGUGGCACUUCAAGUCUGCUGUCAAAGACCGGGGCUUAACCCUGGAAAGGCAGUGGAAACUGAAGCGCUAGAGUGUGGCAGGGGUAGAGGGAAUUCCCGGUGUAGCGGUGAAAUGCGUAGAGAUCGGGAAGAACAUCGGUGGCGAAAGCGCUCUACUGGGCCAUAACUGACACUCAGGGACGAAAGCUAGGGGAGCGAAUGGG